UGAGAGAUUGUGUGUAGGCAAUGAGAUA
RNAcentral lists this non-coding RNA (28 nucleotides) under Homo sapiens (human). The record is from RNAcentral. Lineage: Eukaryota; Metazoa; Chordata; Mammalia; Primates; Hominidae.